UUCUGAUAUAGCUGGUUUACCCUUGUUAGA
RNAcentral lists this non-coding RNA (30 nucleotides) under Rattus norvegicus (Norway rat). Lineage: Eukaryota; Metazoa; Chordata; Mammalia; Rodentia; Muridae. The record is from RNAcentral.